Molecule: ribosomal RNA, 622 nt
Filed under: uncultured bacterium
Lineage: Bacteria
Description: bacterial SSU rRNA
Rfam family: Bacterial small subunit ribosomal RNA (bases 1-546)
Source: RNAcentral
CCUACGGGAGGCAGCAGUGGGGAAUUUUGGACAAUGGGCGAAAGCCUGAUCCAGCAAUGCCGCGUGAGUGAAGAAGGCCUUCGGGUUGUAAAGCUCUUUUGUCAGGGAAGAAACGGUGAGGGCUAAUAUCCCUUGCUAAUGACGGUACCUGAAGAAUAAGCACCGGCUAACUACGUGCCAGCAGCCGCGGUAAUACGUAGGGUGCAAGCGUUAAUCGGAAUUACUGGGCGUAAAGCGUGCGCAGGCGGUUUUGUAAGUCUGUCGUGAAAUCCCCGGGCUCAACCUGGGAAUUGCGAUGGAGACUGCAAGGCUAGAAUCUGGCAGAGGGGGGGUUAGAAUUCCACGUGUAGCAGUGAAAUGCGUAGAGAUGUCGGAGGAACACCGAUGGCGAAGGCAGCCCCCUGGGUCAAGAUUGACGCUCAUGCACGAAAGCGUGGGGAGCAAACGAGGAUUAGACUACCCGUGGUAGUCCACGCCCUAAACGAUGUCUACUAGUUGUCGGGUUUUAAUUAACUUGGUAACGNGAGCUACGCGUGAGUAGACGCCGUGGAGGUACGGUCGCGAGAUAACGUACGAAGAAGUAGAGNGNGAGAGNGCCGACGGACGACGACGAGGGAGGAGG